RNAcentral lists this ribosomal RNA (492 nucleotides) under uncultured bacterium. RNAcentral's name for it is "partial 16S ribosomal RNA". It matches the Rfam family "Bacterial small subunit ribosomal RNA", at positions 29 to 507 of the family's 1533-position model. The record is from RNAcentral.
AGUGAACGCUGGCGGUAGGCCUAACACAUGCAAGUCGAACGGCAGCACAGUAAGAGCUUGCUCUUACGGGUGGCGAGUGGCGGACGGGUGAGGCAUACAUCGGAAUCUACUUUUUCGUGGGUGAUAACGUAGGGAAACUUACGCUAAUACCGCAUACGACCUACGGGUGAAAGCAGGGGAUCUUCGGACCUUGCGCGAUUGAAUUAGCCGAUGUCGGAUUAGCUAGUUGGCGGGGUAAAGGCCCACCAAGGCGACGAUCCGUAGCUGGUCUGAGAGGAUGAUCAGCCACACUGGAACUGAGACACGGUCCAGACUCCUACGGGAGGCAGCAGUGGGGAAUAUUGGACAAUGGGCGAAAGCCUGAUCCAGCCAUACCGCGUGAGUGAAGAAGGCCUUCGGGUUGUAAAGCCCUUUUGUUGGGAAAGAAAAGCAGCGGGUUAAUACCCCGCUGUUCUGACGGUACCCAAAGAAUAAGCACCGGCUAACUUCGUG